CUCAAUUGAUGUUGCUUUCUUAUCCAUAGCUGUGAGAAGAAGGCUGAGUUAUAUUCAUCUCUGCUGCUGGCUUUGGAUGAACUGGACAAGAAUUACAGCACCAUGAGAAAGGAAAUAAACAUGGGCACGCCUUUAAAUGAACUUCCACCACUGUCAGUUGAGCUGAAGUUUCCCCCCCUCUCUUCCUUCUACAUUGCCUCCAAGUUUUUCAGAAAGAUUCUUUACUCUGAGCAGGUACAUGACAGAACACGUUCAGCGACCCCAUCCAGUGACUCUCUGUAAGUGGAGAUGAAAACAAAUCUGGCAGUAAGUUUUUACUGAACUGGGUUAACUGCCAGACACUGCUUGAAGUUUCCUGUUGAGCAUGAGUGAAGUUAAUCAAGAAAAAGCAAAGGCAGUUGUUUUGUUUUGUAAAAAUUAGUCAAAGUUGCACAGGUGUUUUAAAUUGUAAGGAAUACAUCUGAACAUCACACAGAAAACCAUUAAGAUAUAAUGAAAAUAGCCAAAAUGUAUUAAUUAUGUUAAUUUUACUGUGAGCUUCUGGAAAUAUUUGAAUUACUGUAGAACUUAAAAUUGUUGUCCCAUAUUUUGUAUGAAAUUCUUGGAUGUGUUUUAGUGAUCUUUCAGGUGAAGGGAAAGCUGACUUUGAAGAACCAAAACAGCAAGAAAAGGGGAUUUCUGUCAAUAUGGACAACUCACAGACUGAUGGUGAUCAGCCAGGUGAUUCUGCUUCCCCUGAGAGGUGGGAAGAACUGAUUAAAGAUCAGGCUCUGGAACGUGGCUGUGUAAAAAAUGAGGAAGGAAGUGAGUAUUGGUUUGAUGCUAAGGAAGACUUGUCAGCGGCAGAUAUUUCAGUAAUGUGCAAAGAAAUGAAAAAGCAACAAGGAAAGCAAGACUCGAUUGACUCAAGAGAAGUGAAGAUAGUGGUGAGUGGGAAGGAACAUUCCUCUGUUCCUGUCAGUGACCCAAAGCCCUCAGUGCCUGAGGAUCCUGGCGAAAAUUCCCUGCAGAAAACAUCCACUUGUUCCUCUGUGAAGUCAUCUUGUAUCUUUGUUUCUCCUUAUGCACUGAACUUGAGCAGCUUUACCAAGUUAGUAAGGAGACUUCAAGAAAAGCAUCCCGAGUUCAGCAGAGCUGAAAUUGUGGGGGCUGUGCAGGAGGUGAGGAGAAUGAACAAAGGAGUGCUGAGUGGCCUGGCCAUCAGUGCUAUUGAGGAGAAGGCCUCUGCCAUUCUGAGGAGUUCCACACCCUACUCUCAGUUGGAGGAGCCCUGAGAAAGGCCCAAAGUUCUGAGUGCUCCCUGCAUUUUGGAUUCCAACAUCUGGAGUGCUUCGCUGCUGAACUGUGUGGAGAGCACAGUCACACACCUUCGGUGCACAGCUGACACCUACCGGCCAGGCCUUGUGUAGCCUCUGAUCCAUCCAGAAAUCCCAGCCCUGGCUCCCUUCUGCAUCCCAGCACUGAUGGUUCCUGUCUGGGGGCUCCUUUCUGCAUCCCAGCACUGAUGGUUCCUGUCUGGGGGCUCCUUUCUGCAUCCCAGCACUGAUGGUUUCUGGGCUGGAAACCUGACACAACCAGACUGUGCCUAGUCUUUUUCUCACACCAAUCCCUUUUGCACAAUCUCAUGGCACUGCAGGAAGCUGCAGCGAGCUGAAGGUGUGAAAUCACAGCCCAGAAUCCCAAAAAUUGUGUCUGUCCAUCCUUGCUUUGGGUACCUCCUAGCAGUGCCACUGCCAGGUUUCCUGCAGAAAGGAAAAAGUCUUUGUGUUAAUCUCCUGUCUGACUUUCACAGGGCUGCAGAUAGGGACAGGAACUCACCCCCGAAAUGUUAAAAUCUUAUGUUUGAAAGCGUUUUCAGUCAGUAAGGUUUUAACAGCCUUGAAAUGUGUUGUGCUUUCCUUGUGGAGUGAUUGUUAGGUUUUCCAGUGGUGCGUGGGCUCCGUAGUCCUAAUUGUUCCUAUUACAGUAUGUUUUUCCUGCUGUUUUUGUAUGGGAGAUGAUGACUUAUAAUAAUUUUAUUUUCCUCAUGAGGGAGGUGUGAAAUGGCCAAGUCAUUACUAAAUAAUGGGGAGAAAAAGAAUCCCCAUUUUCUAUAUUAAGGAACAAGUACACAAUACAUGUAAGAGAAGGUGAUUCUGCUCAGAGCUCACCUACAGUUACUCAGUCUCUCUGUUGUACUUUGUUCUAGACCCUGCUGCAAUUGUUGCUGGAAAGAACAGCCUUGUUUACUGUCAAUAAAGGUUAACAUUUGUUCUUCA
Molecule: long non-coding RNA, 2258 nt
Organism: Zonotrichia albicollis (white-throated sparrow)
Lineage: Eukaryota; Metazoa; Chordata; Aves; Passeriformes; Passerellidae
Source: Ensembl